This 254-nucleotide ribosomal RNA is filed under the name uncultured bacterium. RNAcentral describes it as "partial 16S ribosomal RNA". It matches the Rfam family "Bacterial small subunit ribosomal RNA", at positions 524 to 776 of the family's 1533-position model. The record is from RNAcentral.
UACGUAGGGGGCAAGCGUUGUCCGGAUUUAUUGGGCGUAAAAGGCUUGUAGGUGGCCACGCCAAGUCGGCUGUGAAAUCUCCCGGCUCAACUGGGAGGGGUCAUUCGAUACUGGCGGGCUCGAGGCCGGUAGGGGGAAGUGGAAUUCCCGGUGUAGUGGUGGAAUGCGUAGAUAUCGGGAGGAACACCAGUGGCGAAGGCGGCUUCCUGGACCGGUUCUGACACUGAGGAGCGAAAGCGUGGGGAGCAAACAGG